GGUCAAGAAGAGAAGCGCAAACGGUGGAUGCCUUGGCAGUAAGAGGCGAAGAAGGACGUGGAAUCCUGCGAAAAGCUUUGGGGAGCUGGAAACGAGCGUUGAUCCGAAGAUGUCCGAAUGGGGGAACCCGGCUUGACGAGAGUUGAGUCACUUAUGACUGAAUACAUAGGUUAUGAGAGCGAACUUGGGGAACUGAAACAUCUAAGUACCUAAAGGAAAAGAAAUCAAACGAGAUUCUCUUAGUAGCGGCGAGCGAAAGGGGAAGAGCCUGGUGUGAUAUAUGAUGCUAUGAAGUGGAACGACUUGGGAAAGUUGACCGUAGGGGGUGAUAGUCCCGUACACGUAGGUAGCAUUAGGAACUAAGCACACGAGCAAGUAGGCCGGGACACGUGAAAUCCUGGUUGAAGAUGGGUGGACCAUCAUCCAAGGCUAAAUACUACUUACUGACCGAUAGUGAACCAGUACCGUGAGGGAAAGGCGAAAAGCACCCCGGAGAGGGGAGUGAAAUAGACCUGAAACCGUUUGCGUACAAGCAGUGGGAGCCUGACUUAGGUUGGGUGACUGCGUACCUUUUGUAUAAUGGGUCAGCGAGUUACUUUCAGUGGCGAGGUUAACCUGAUAGGGGAGCCGUAGAGAAAUCGAGUCUUAAUAGGGCGAGAGUCGCUGGGAGUAGACCCGAAACCGGGCGAUCUAGUCAUGUGCAGGAUGAAGGUUGGGUAACACCAACUGGAGGUCCGAACCGGGUAAUGUUGAAAAAUUAUCGGAUGACGUGUGACUAGGAGUGAAAGGCUAAUCAAGCUCGGAGAUAUCUGGUUCUCCCCGAAAGCUAUUUAGGUAGCGCCUUGUGGGUUGAUUACUGGGGGUAGAGCACUGUUUCGGCUAGGGGGCUGUCAUGGCUUACCAAACCGAUGCAAACUACGAAUACUGGUUAAUUGGACCACGGGAGACACACGGCGGGUGCUAACGUCCGUCGUGGAGAGGGAAACAACCCAGACCGCCAGCUAAAGUCCCAAAGUUAUGGUUAAGUGGGAAACGAUGUGGGAAGGCAUAGACAGCCAGGAGGUUGGCUUAGAAGCAGCCAUCCUUUAAAGAAAGCGUAAUAGCUCACUGGUCGAGUCGGCCUGCGCGGAAGAUGUAACGGGGCUAAAACCAUACACUGAAGCUGCGGAUGUGCAUUAGAUGCACGUGGUAGGGGAGCGUUCUGUAGGUCUGAGAAGGUGACUUGAGAAGGUUGCUGGAGAUAUCAGAAGUGCGAAUGCUGACAUGAGUAACGAUAAAGAAGGUGAAAAGCCUUCUCGCCGUAAGUCUAAGGUUUCCUGCACGACGUUAAUCGGAGCAGGGUGAGUCGGCCCCUAAGGCGAGGCGGAGACGCGUAGUCGAUGGGAACCAGGUUAAUAUUCCUGGACUUUUUAUAAGUGCGAAGGGGGGACGGAGAAGGCUAGGUGAGCCAGGCGAUGGUUGUCCUGGUACUUGCAUGUAGGCGGGCGAGUCAGGCAAAUCCGACUUGCUGCUAACGCUGAGGUGCGGAGUGGUUCAGACACUUUGGUGUGCUGAGAAGUUAUUGAUGCCAAGCUUCCAGGAAAAGCCUCUAAGCGACAGCUUAUAGAGAACCGUACCGCAAACCGACACAGGUAGACGAGUAGAGAAUACUAAGGCGCUUGAGAGAACUCGGGUGAAGGAACUAGGCAAAAUGGUACCGUAACUUCGGGAGAAGGUACGCCUUUGCUGGUUAGUUGCUUUACGUAAUGAAGCUGGCGAAGGCCGCAGAGACCAGGUGGCUGCGACUGUUUAUUAAAAACACAGCACUCUGCAAAUUCGUAAGAAGACGUAUAGGGUGUGACGCCUGCCCGGUGCCGGAAGGUUAAUUGAUUUGGUUAAGCGCGAGCUGAAGCUGAUGAUCGAAGCCCCGGUAAACGGCGGCCGUAACUAUAACGGUCCUAAGGUAGCGAAAUUCCUUGUCGGGUAAGUUCCGACCUGCACGAAUGGCGUAACGAUGGCCACACUGUCUCCACCCGAGACUCAGUGAAAUUGAAAUUGCGGUGAAGAUGCCGUAUACCCGCGGCUAGACGGAAAGACCCCGUGAACCUUUACUACAGCUUUGCACUGGACUUUGACAAUGACUGUGUAGGAUAGGUGGGAGGCUAAGAAGUAUGAACGCUAGUUUGUAUGGAGCCGACCUUGAAAUACCACCCUGUGAUUGUUGAGGUUCUAACUUGGUCCCAUGAACUGGGAUGAGGACAGUGUAUGGUGGGUAGUUUGACUGGGGCGGUCUCCUCCCAAAGAGUAACGGAGGAGCACAAAGGUACCCUCGGUACGGUCGGACAUCGUACCAAGAGUGUAAAGGCAAAAGGGUGCUUGACUGCGAGAGCGACGGCUCGAGCAGGUACGAAAGUAGGUCUUAGUGAUCCGGUGGUUCUGUAUGGAAGGGCCAUCGCUCAACGGAUAAAAGGUACUCCGGGGAUAACAGGCUGAUACCGCCCAAGAGUUCAUAUCGACGGCGGUGUUUGGCACCUCGAUGUCGGCUCAUCACAUCCUGGGGCUGCAGCAGGUCCCAAGGGUAUGGCUGUUCGCCAUUUAAAGUGGUACGCGAGCUGGGUUUAGAACGUCGUGAGACAGUUCGGUCCCUAUCUGCCGUGGGCGUAGGAAAAUUGAGAGGAGCUGCUCCUAGUACGAGAGGACCGGAGUGGACAAACCUCUGGUGUACCGGUUGUGACGCCAGUUGCAUUGCCGGGUAGCUAAGUUUGGACGGGAUAACCGCUGAAAGCAUCUAAGCGGGAAGCCUCCCUCGAGAUGAGUUUUCCCAUGAAGCCCGUUGAAGACGACGACGUUGAUAGGCGAGGUGUGGAAGCGUAGUAAUACGUGAAGCUAACUCGUACUAAUUGGCUGAUUGUCUUGACCAU
Legionella oakridgensis is the source of this 2900-nucleotide ribosomal RNA. It matches the Rfam family "Bacterial large subunit ribosomal RNA". The record is from Rfam. Lineage: Bacteria; Pseudomonadati; Pseudomonadota; Gammaproteobacteria; Legionellales; Legionellaceae.